RNAcentral lists this long non-coding RNA (397 nucleotides) under Ananas comosus (pineapple). RNAcentral describes it as "long non-coding RNA (ACOM_LNC030270)". The record is from RNAcentral. Lineage: Eukaryota; Viridiplantae; Streptophyta; Magnoliopsida; Poales; Bromeliaceae.
AAUUCAGUUUUCUUCUUAUCCUUAAAAAUGAGGCUGUCACGCCCCGGAUUACUCGUUUUCUCGGGCACGCCGACAAAUCCGCCGUAUACAAAGAAAUUUUUCCUAUAUACGAAGCGAUAGCUGUACCUGUAAACAUACAAUACUUCAACUAGUAGUAUAGAGCUGCUAAAAAGAAUACAUAUAUAAAAAACAUCGGUUCAAUACAUACAUAAAAUCUUGGUAGAAAAACACUCGCUCCAGCAAGGAAUAACAUCAGUAUGUAAAGAACCAAAAACUACAACUACCUGUAGCUGGUACUCCCCUAGCUCUGCAACUCGCCAGGAAGGGCUCUAACUCGCAACACCCUUUCCACGAUUAGAAUCAGCAGUAGCAGCAGCCGCUACCGGAGGCUCUGCAA